CAUUAGAUACCCCUGUAGUCCCAGCCGUAAACUAUGCUCGCUAGGUGUCAGGCAUGGCGCGACCGUGUCUGGUGCCGCAGGGAAGCCGUGAAGCGAGCCACCUGGGAAGUACGGCCGCAAGGCUGAAACUUAAAGGAAUUGGCGGGGAGCACCACAACGGGUGGAGCCCGCGGUUUAAUUGGACUCAACGCCGGGAAGCUCACCGGAUAAGACAGCGGAAUGAUUGCCGGGCUGAAGACUCUGCAUGACUAGCUG
RNAcentral lists this ribosomal RNA (255 nucleotides) under uncultured archaeon. RNAcentral describes it as "partial 16S ribosomal RNA". It matches the Rfam family "Archaeal small subunit ribosomal RNA", at positions 727 to 982 of the family's 1478-position model. The record is from RNAcentral.